AUUGAACGCUGGCGGCAUGCUUUACACAUGCAAGACGAACGGUAACAGGCCUUCGGGUGCUGACGAGUGGCGAACGGGUGAGUAAUGCAUCGGAACGUGCCCAGAGGUGGGGGAUAACGCAGCGAAAGCUGUGCUAAUACCGCAUGUGAUCUGAGGAUGAAAGCGGGGGACCAAGCAGCAAUGUUUGGCCUCGCGCCUCUGGAGCGGCCGAUGUCAGAUUAGGUAGUUGGUGGGGUAAAGGCCUACCAAGCCGACGAUCUGUAGCUGGUCUGAGAGGACGACCAGCCACACUGGGACUGAGACACGGCCCAGACUCCUACGGGAGGCAGCAGUGGGGAAUUUUGGACAAUGGGCGCAAGCCUGAUCCAGCAAUGCCGCGUGCGGGAAGAAGGCCUUCGGGUUGUAAACCGCUUUUGUACGGAACGAAAAGGCUCUGGCUAAUACCUGGGGCUGAUGACGGUACCGUAAGAAUAAGCACCGGCUAACUACGUG
Molecule: ribosomal RNA, 492 nt
Filed under: uncultured bacterium
Lineage: Bacteria
Description: partial 16S ribosomal RNA
Rfam family: Bacterial small subunit ribosomal RNA
Source: RNAcentral